This 503-nucleotide ribosomal RNA is filed under the name uncultured bacterium. RNAcentral describes it as "bacterial SSU rRNA". It matches the Rfam family "Bacterial small subunit ribosomal RNA", at positions 21 to 518 of the family's 1533-position model. The record is from RNAcentral.
GGUUCAGGAUGAACGCUAGCGACAGGCCUAACACAUGCAAGUCGAGGGGCAGCACAAGGAGCAAUCUGAGGUGGCGACCGGCGCACGGGUGAGUAACACGUAUGCAACCUGCCUGUAAGCGGGGAAUAACCCGUUGAAAGACGGACUAAUACCGCAUAAUACUAAAUUACUGCAUGGUAAUUUAUUUAAACAUUUAUGGCUUACAGAUGGGCAUGCGCAUGAUUAGCUAGUUGGAGAGGUAACGGCUCCCCAAGGCAACGAUCAUUAGGGGUUCUGAGAGGAAGGUCCCCCACACUGGUACUGAGACACGGACCAGACUCCUACGGGAGGCAGCAGUGAGGAAUAUUGGUCAAUGGACGAGAGUCCGAACCAGCCAAGUCGCGUGCAGGAAGAAUGUCCUAAUGGAUUGUAAACUGCUUUUGCAGGGGAAUAAAGUGCAUCACGUGUGAUGUUUUGUAUGUACUCUGCGAAUAAGGAUCGGCUAACUCCGUGCCAGCAGCCGC